Molecule: non-coding RNA, 359 nt
Organism: Pelobates cultripes (western spadefoot toad)
Lineage: Eukaryota; Metazoa; Chordata; Amphibia; Anura; Pelobatidae
Source: the annotation of a GenBank genome assembly
CUUCUUAUCAGUGUUUGAUGCUAAAUAAUGCAACCAAAAAUGAUCAAGGGCUGGGAAUGGAAAAAUACUAAUUUGUUGAUAGCCCAUAAUGAAUAGUGGUCUGGUAUAGAGAAGCACACCGGCAUACGUUUGUUUUUUGUAGCCAGACAUCUAUAUUUGACAUUCUAAACAAACUCAUGAACUGAUUCAAGGUUUCCAGACUCUGAUCUCACUGGCUGUCUCAAUCUGUUCCUGCUGAGAUUGCUGGCUAGAGGGGUCUAUUCUGUUGCAGUAAUUAGUGGAGACCGCUGAUAAAGGGUUUUUACUCUUGUUUGUUGGCAGAUGGGACAUUUUAAAUAUUUUUGAAUCAGAUCUGAACC